Pelobates cultripes (western spadefoot toad) is the source of this 2886-nucleotide non-coding RNA. Lineage: Eukaryota; Metazoa; Chordata; Amphibia; Anura; Pelobatidae. The record is from the annotation of a GenBank genome assembly.
GAACUGGCAGAUGACUAUGCCGACAUCCAUGCACCCACAUCCAGGCGUGGACUUGUGUCAGCUGCUACUUCGACCUGGAGAGAAGCUACAGUUCAAUCACCACCUAUAAGAUCUGCAGUGAGAACUUCACCGCCGACUGCCAGCGUAGCCAGGGCUAUGUCAAGUGAGUCAGAUGCCCGCCGUUGUUUUCGAUGCAACCAGAUUGGUCAUCUGAGCAGGACUUGCCCCACUAGGAAUAUGCCCUCACCAGUCCGUGGAGGGGCACCAUCAGUAUUGCUUGUGGGUGGGUCUGUGGGGAAACGAGAGGAUAACCUGCAGAGUGUAAUUGUGGGUGACAGAGUGACCAUGGGACUGAGAGAUUCUGGAGCUUCCUUCAUCCUGGUGCGACCUGAAGUGGUGAAUACGGAGGACAUAAUCCCUGGAAGAACCAUGUCCAUCAAAGGAAUUGGGGGUGUACGCCCCGCUGUGCCCUUGGCACGUGUGUACCUUGAUUGGGGUGCGGGCAAAGGUUUGCGGGAAGUGGGGAUUUCAGAGGAUAUCCCUGUUAAUGUUCUGUUGGGGAAUGAUUUGGGCAGGAUGCUCUGUCACUAUGCUCCAGCGGACACUGUUUGUGAGCCAGAAGGGCUGACUGCUCCACCUAAGGUAUUGUGUGAAACUUUGGGAGACAUUGUGGAGUGUGAUUGCUGGGAGGGAGAGCAGGGUGUGGAUAAAUAUCUACCUGUAACUGAACCAGUGAUGUCUACCAAAUGUGAGAUAGGGGUGAGUAGUGAUGUGCCUGUAUUAAAAUACUGUGAGGCUGGGAUGUCAGAGAGUAAGGGGGAGGAGGAAGGUGAGAGCCAUGUGUGUAGGUAGUGGUUAUUGUGCGGUGCGAACCAAUGCAAUCAUAAUUACAUUUUCCCGUUCUCCCCCCAAUUAAAACCAAGAGACAUAAGUGUGGUAUAAAACAGGCCACAGCUUUAUUUAUCAUGACAAGCAUAAAUAAAUCAACCAAUAAUUUACUCGAAAACUUGUCCUUGCCAACCGAACCAUAAUAACUCUAGAGUACCCCCUUCCAGGGUACCUGCCCUCCCCCCUCGUCCAAGAUAACUGGCCUUUUACAUUGGCCUUCCAAUUCCCCUGGCCGCCUUUUACUGGCACGGGGGGCACGCCCAAUUACCAAAACUCUCCGAGGUUAGGGGAGGGACCAGACCCAGCAUUCCUUCUUCCAGUGUACUCGUUUUCCAACUGGUUUGGCAAGGACCAUACCCGCCAGCUGUGACAAGAAAUAAAGUUAAAGAUAUACAAUACGCAACAAUCAAGGGUGGGCGGGAGGGAAGAUGUUACUUAUUCUAAGAUGGCUGAGGUAAGGGACAAAAUGACUGCCCUUUUAUAUGACCCCACCCCACCCCUAUCCUAAGUGACACCCCCCACAUGUGACACCUACACCCACCACACCCACACAUGCCUCCUAUCCGGCUAGCUUUUCAGCCCGCCUCCUCUGGGCCUGGGAUGUGUACCACUAGUCGCAGUGGUAACAAGUCAACAGUGGGUCAGGGCUGCAGCAGGACAGUCUGAGGUGCUAUGUGAGAUUGUGAGAGGAGGGCCUGCCUUGGAGAAGAAAUUAUGUGAGUGUGUGCAAAAUUCUGUAUCUGAUCAAGGGGGGUCAAAUGUGUCCUGUGAAAAUGUAUGGGAAAAGCCUUCCAGCGAGAGGGGGCUGAAUGAAUAUAUGUGCCAAUAUGUGCCUGAAGCAGAUGUAUGUGAUGUGGUGGGUGAAAAUGUGAAGGGACAGCGAGGCUAUGAGGGAGGGCAGAGGGUGUGUGAGCGUUACUCUGCGGCAGGCUUAGCCAGUUUCCAAAGUUCUGUAUGUCUGAUGACCUGGAGUGAAAGUGAGGGGCACGGACAGACUCAGCCUGUGGGUCCAGGAAGGAUGGCUGCAGGGAAACAUACUGUUGGAGGAACCAGGAACCUUGUCAGUUUAUCACAACUCACGCAUACACCUAAGCAACUUUAUGAUUGUGAACCAAAGGUUCAGAGUCUGAUAGUGCAACAAGCCCAGCAGACAGACCGCAAAAUGAAAGAGAUGAUGGGUGUUGAUACAGCACAUCUAUCCUGGGAGUGUUCUCUGUCUGCUUUUUUGUGUGCUUACCGGGGAGUGCUACAGAAAUCCAUUGGUUUCUUCCCCUUACAGCUACUACAUGAGCGCAGUUUAAGGGAUGUUACCAGAGAUCGAUGGGAAAUUGAAACAGGCAAAUCAGGCAUGUUUGUUGAGGGGGUAGCUGUGGUAUGGACUGAUCACAACCUGCUGCAGGUGACAGGUAACCAUGGUAAACUGCUCCAUUGGAGCCCUAUCCUCCAACAGUAUAAUUUCACUGUCCAAAACAAAAAGGGCAGCUUGCAUGGGAAUGCAGAUGGCCUGUCUCAGCAACUAGAGGGUUAAUGGUAGACAGAUAAAUCAGCCUGUGGCUACAUUUUUCUGUCCACCAUCUUAAGGGGGAGGUGUCAUGCCAAAAGCAUGAGUUGGUGUUUGAUGUGUGUUUAUAUAUGUUAAGAGUUGUUUUUUUGUAAACCUUGGGAUGACGUUUAUUGUGGUCUUUGAUCUUGCACCAGGCCUAGACCAUAAAACAUCUAGAUAGCCAUCACCAGAGCUGGACACAAGGAAUUUCAUAGAGUGGGCAAUUGUCAGGGUACCUGUUGGUGCUGAAUCCAGGGAAGACAUCCUCUCUGUUUAGGGGCUCCCUGCCCCUAGCAUUUCGGCAUAUUCCGGCCGUUUUCGCGCCGGCCGCGCUAGCUCCUCCCCCUUUUAUGACGCGACGGCUAGCGUCGACGUCAUGACGUCGGCAUUUACAUGAAGUGCCGGGAACCGCUAUUCCGGACCUUUUGGGGGCGUGGUCCCUAUUUAGGUAACAG